RNAcentral lists this long non-coding RNA (2466 nucleotides) under Malus domestica (apple). RNAcentral describes it as "long non-coding RNA (MDOM_LNC005102)". The record is from RNAcentral. Lineage: Eukaryota; Viridiplantae; Streptophyta; Magnoliopsida; Rosales; Rosaceae.
CAUGAAUAUAAAAAUAAAGGGGUCAAAAAAAGAUUUUUAUAAGUGAUACGGUUGUGGGGAAGUUUCUGAUCACAUUGACACACCCCGUCCCGAAGGAGGGCAUGCUGGCCGUCACGUGAGAGUGACGUAACCAUUUACACAGUACGGAAGCUUUAAGAUACAAUUUAUAAGUUGAUACACCCGAAGGUGAGUCCUAAUUUUGUCCAUUCUGUCAGAACACCGUCGAAUUCCUCGUAGUCACCACACCUUUGUGAUUCCUGAACCUGGAGGGGCGCAAAACCAAAAUUGAGUGGGUCAGUAAAACAAUUCUUUUCCAAAUCCAAACAUUUCUCAAAACGUUGUAACCCCUCUCCGUAAAACCUGUAUACUUUCCCAGAAAUGUAAAAUAUAAAUAUACAUAUAUAAUCUCAAAACUUCAAAUCACUAUCUCAACAUUUUUCAUUACAAUUAUGCCAUGCCAUGUCUAAAUUCAACAGUAUAAUAUGAAUGCAUCAACAAUAAUUAUAUCAGGUGCAAGAAGUAAUCAACCGGAGGCCCUCUAAUAGCCCUGAACGGUUGAACCUAGAGCUCAAAAUCUAUCACUCUCACUCUGCCGGAGUCACCUCUGUGACCUGUACGGCCUUCUGCACACAAGUUACGCUCUAGUGCUUUCUCAUUAAUCAUCUGUGCACAUAAUCUAAGGUCACCCACCAGUCGAAAUCUCACUAACACUCUUCGACUGGCCCGUCGCACCCACUCCGCGUGGACUAUGCGACCAGCAUCUACUUGGAUCCAAGGCGAGCGUGCGAUGCGGUGAAUACUAUAAGCACUAAACCAUGGUGCAGGAUUUGAGCUCAAUAUAUAUCAACAUCAUCAUAACAGUAUUUAAAUACUCACCUGAUACUCACCUGUGCGUCCGCCGCACCAUUCAUUCAUAUGCAUCAUAUAACAAUUCAUACUUUUCAUAUCAUUUCAUGCAUGGCAAUUCGAUUCACAUUUCUAUAUACUUUGCAUAUAAUUUUAUGCAUGGCAUCUCAAUUCACGUUUUCAUAUAAUUCUAUAUACCUUUCAUUUAAAACAUAAUUUCAUUCUAAUUCAAUUUCUGGGAAAACGUCAAGUAUAUAUAUAUACGGAAAACAAAACUGCCCACUCACCUGGAGUUCGUCCUACAACUCCCUAGCACAAUACGCCAAGGCGUCAUGACGAUUGCCGCCUAGAACAGUAAUCAAAUCCAACCUCAGAAUUCAUAUCGAUAGAAUAUAUAACUUAUAUAAAAUACGUCACUACGUAGAUCGAUCCGGAAGAUCUGCCACUCAGAUUUUAAAUCCAUAACUUCCAGAGGUCCACAAUAUAUCUCUAGGACAACAUCCUAAAAUUUCAUCACCAUCCAACGGUUAGAUCUCCGUCAAUUAACAAAACUAAGUGACGGUUUACAUUCUAUUUUAUGAACUUACAACUCAAAUUCCGGAAGAUCUGUAAAUCGGAUUCCCAAUCCGUAAGUUCCUAUAAUCCUCAAAUAUUACGUAUUACAACGUAUCAAAGUUUGGUGACGAUCCAACGGUCGGAUCAUCAAUUCACAUUUUCACCUAAUGCGAAAAUUAUAAAACGUUAUUUGAACACCUAACCAACAAUCCUUAAUAACUUUCUCAUACGGUACUCAAUUUGGGUAUAUGAAUAUACCAAAGUGAUCUACUCGACGUCACGAACGUCGACAUAUUUUUAGAUUAUUUUUUUGAUGUGCCACGCGCCCCCACGCGCCAGGACAAGCACGGGGACACGCGCCCCCACGCGCAUCAUCCCCAACCUUGGUUCGUCGGACUGGUUUUUCCGGCGACCGGAAAACUGGAGAAUUUUCAAAUGCUUCGUUCUCCUUCGUUUCUCAACCAUUUUCUUCGUAUAAUAUAUCAAAUUGAAGCCCUCAACAUGUAGAAUCAUAAUAUACUACUUUAAAGCUCUAAAAACUACGAAAUCUUACCGGAAAAAUUCCACAAGAACCGGCCAACUUUGAACGUGGUGAUCCCGACGUCCAAAACUUCCAAACAACAUACUCCGAGCUUCCUUGGGACUUCCUAAAGCUCACUGUGAGCUUAGUUUGGCCUAAAACACAACCAAUUCAAAGCUCAUGAACAGUACACUUUCACGGGGAGUUUAGAAUCUAGGUUUUCCGAAGUAAAACUUACCUGAAAUUGGUGUCUACGUGAUCGUGGAGGUUCCAGGAGUUCGAUGGUGGUCUUAACUCCGUCGUUGGUAGAAGUUUAGGGUGGUUUUGGAGCUUGUCCGUGUGAGUUCGAAGGAGAGGGAGAGAGAACUGAGAGUUUCGUGAGGGAGGAGAGAGAGAGAUAAAGCACGGAAAAGAGGGAGAGAAUUUAGGGGUGUGGGAUCCUACCCAAUCCCCAACUACAAAUUCUAACAUAAAAUUUAAGUCUAAGUCUCCACUCUACUUACCAAAUUUUAGGAGCUUAGAUAUAACGAACGUAAAAAUUAUAC